RNAcentral lists this non-coding RNA (125 nucleotides) under chicken gut metagenome. Its description in RNAcentral is "FMN riboswitch (RFN element)". It matches the Rfam family "FMN riboswitch aptamer (RFN element)". From Rfam's summary of the family: The RFN element is a highly conserved domain that is found frequently in the 5'-untranslated regions of prokaryotic mRNAs that encode for flavin mononucleotide (FMN) biosynthesis and transport proteins. This element is a metabolite-dependent riboswitch that directly binds FMN in the absence of proteins. The record is from RNAcentral.
GUUUCAGGGCGGAGUGAAAGUCUCCACUGGCGGUAAUCGCUGGAUGAUCAGCGGAGUCCGCGAGCGCUGUUUGCGCAUGAUCCGGUGAGAUCCCGGAACCAACGGUAUAGUCCGGAUAAAAGAAA